Molecule: long non-coding RNA, 1964 nt
Organism: Cyprinus carpio carpio
Lineage: Eukaryota; Metazoa; Chordata; Actinopteri; Cypriniformes; Cyprinidae
Source: Ensembl
CUAAGUUCAAAGAAAAACAAACUGUAGACAUACGAAAUUACCGCGUUGUCGACUGUGAUAUAGUGAAGUGUUUUUAUUACAUCUGCACCACCCUUGAAUGUAGGCCUAUAUAAAUAAAUAAAAACGAGUUGAUGAGCGUUCGAGAAUGACAAUACUUAUGAGUGCUAUUUCUUGUAAUAUCUAGCUAUUAAUGAGUAAACCAUAAUAGCCAUACACGAUUUUAUUGUAAUUUUACCUUUUGAAUCGAGUGCAUAUAACAUAAAAAAAUACAUAUUCCAUAUAAAAGCCUUAACCUCGUUAAAUACCCCACUUGUUAUACUAUAUGUGUCCUGUGUUUUUUUUUUUUUUUUCCUCGCUGAAGCACAGCUGGAAGUGGCCAUUGCACAGUCACCUCUAAAUAGCAUAUCGGUUUCCAAGGAUACCCGGGAGUAGCAUUUAAAUGACGUCAGUAUUCAUUGAUAGAGUAUUAUCGGCAGUAAUGAGUUCCUCUUCACCAAUAGGAUUCGAUAAGCAGUCUGUUUAGCGAUAGUGGAGUGGUGAAUGAAAGAAAGCUUGGAAAGAGAAAUGCAGCAGGGACUAGUCACACUCUACAAGCGCUGCAUGGCAUAAAGAGAACACACUGAGUCCCAGAGCUGUUUAAGACCGAGACUCAGGAUUUAAGCUUGUGGUGCGGUCCACCUGGGAGCCCUAGAUGAGUAUUUAAUUCUUCGACUGUGCAUGUGAGCCAGGAAAAGAGCGACUUUGAUAGACUCCAUUACCCAGAGAGGAGCGAGCAUUUCCUGAUACGCUCAGACAAAGUGCGGCACUUUGAAAGCUGUUUAGCACUGAUUGGAGUCCUUUCUGCUCUCCGCCAGAGAGAAUACCUCUUCAGGUGCCGGUGUCAAGCAUCUCUGAUACACGCUGCGCCUCCUCCAUGCUACGAGACCCUCCCCUGAUCAAUCAAGGUUGACAGAGAAGGCCUUUGUGCGACGCUCCAAGGAACAGAUGUCUGCCUGAGAGAGCGCUUCACCUGGAGCUGCUGGAUUAACCGUGGCCUCGCUUUGAUGGAUUAGCAUGUACGGAAAUUGCCCGAUUAUUGAUAUGAAAAUAUUUGCAAACGAGGGGAAACUGGUGACGUGAGGGGUGAGGGGCGCGAAGAUGCUAAGAGAGCUUAUCAGCCUUCCUUCCAACCUUGUCCCUCGCUUCCUACAGAAAGGGGAAAAAGAAGAGGGGUAGAAAAGACAGAUGAGGGCACGGGGAGGAGAAAGAGAACUGCUGUGUGUCAGCGUGGCAGUAUUCAGCUGCCCUUCAUGAAAUAUUGUUCACCAUUAUAUUAACAGAGCUGAGUGGAAAGAGAUAAGAGAGCUUCUGAAAUAGUAAGCAGAAUGUCCCGAGGAGAUAUUUCAAUCUUUAUUCUCUGUCGCUCUCCCUCUCUUUUUCUCCCUCUUACCCCAUCUUUUUCUUUCAUUUAGGGCAACGGGUGAAUGUGAAAUGUGCCGAGACCUUUAUAAAUGAAGACAGGGCCGGGGAAAUGAUGACAUCAUCAACUCCCACAUAAUUGCUUGAUUUGUCACUCUGUAAAAGGAGAGGAUCUGGGUGGGGGGGGGGGGGGGUGUUGGUCCCUUCAGGACAACCACUUUCAUUACAUUUUUUAACUAGCCACAGAGAGAGGGCUAAGGGUUUGCACGCCUGCAAAAAAAUAUGUUGAUCUUAUGCAUAAUUAUACAGCGUGCGUAAAGGCGUGCAAAAUUAUAUAACUGAAAUUACACAUUUGGGAGUGAGAUCAACCAAAGAGAGGCUUACCACUUCAGUCUGUUUGACCUCUUGGAGAGACGUUACUGUGACACACCACACUGUGGUGGAGGAAGAGAGAGAAAUAUGGAGGAAAAGAGUAUUUUAAAGGAGUAAUUGCAACUUCCAUGACAAAUAUAAAUAAAUGAAAUAAAAAUAAUGAUGUGUAUAUAUAUAUAUAUAUAUAUAUAUAU